GAAAAAUAAUUUCUUUAAAAUGAAAUUUAAAUGCACACAAGCAUUAUCCUCAAGAAGAGAGGAAAAAAAUUGCAUAAAGGUAAUCCUAAAUCAUUCCAGCUAAGGAAUGGUAUGAGAUUUGCUGCUCUUAUCUGCAUUCUGCAACAACCAGCAAAGAUUUUUCAUUGGCUGAACAUGGAUCACCACCAAAAUAUCCGGUUGAUACAGGAAUUGAACAAUUCAUUUUCCCCAGACAUGCCUUUUCAACAAUGGCUUUUGAAGAAUAGGAAUGACAAUUGCCAACUGCAUAAGUAGCAGUACAGUUACCAAGUGGAGUUCCAUAGCUUGCAAAUGCAAUAUUGGAAAUCUUGCUGUUUGAAGGGCAACCCAACUGAACUAUUGGUCUUCUGCUCUUUAUCUUCAUAUAUGCUUUAGUUUUCUGAUCAUAUCCUACCCAUGAAGAUACAGGGGGAAGAUGAGAAGCAGUCACAUAACUGCAUACUUGUGAGAUUGAGGCAGUGUCCACUGAGAUUUGCAGAGGAUUCCCACCCACUUCUUCCAAGAGAACUAAUAGGUUUCCUGUAGGUUUGAGGAAAGAUCGUGGCACAUUGUACCAUAUUUGUGAAGAUCCAUCUGGUGAGCGAUAUGAGGGCCAAUAUCUUCCAAUGCUGUAGCCGUUAAC
Molecule: unclassified non-coding RNA, 661 nt
Filed under: Hevea brasiliensis (rubber tree)
Lineage: Eukaryota; Viridiplantae; Streptophyta; Magnoliopsida; Malpighiales; Euphorbiaceae
Source: RNAcentral